Molecule: long non-coding RNA, 432 nt
Organism: Ixodes scapularis (black-legged tick)
Lineage: Eukaryota; Metazoa; Arthropoda; Arachnida; Ixodida; Ixodidae
Exons: 3
Source: RefSeq, a predicted model, not a curated record
GCUCCAGCGGUCACCGUCGGUAAUCACAAAGAGUUGCACCGCACGCGCUAUCUAAGCUUAUAGUACGAUCGUGUUUUAGACGCCGUGAAACGAGAAGAACGCAGACGCCCUACGCCCUCACGCUUCCGUGGGUUGCAGUGUACAUGGAUCCCCGCUACCACCAUCUUUUCACCCCUGAGCAAAAGUACCGGGCCACGUUUUACUCGACAAAGACUUGAAGGCGGAUCGCAGCUCUGCAAUGCGAGCAGAUCCUACCCUUUCUUCUGAAACUGCGGCGGCUCCAGAAGAUCCCGGAGAAGCCCUGGAAGCGCUCCUCAAGGAGAAAGAGGUUGAGGCUGGAGUGCACGUUCGAGUUUUGGGAAGAGACGGGAGCGCCAUCCAGAACUCUGCGCAUUGGCGCAAGUAGCCCUGGGAGUGCCUGCGACCCAGGUG